Long non-coding RNA from Bufo gargarizans (Asiatic toad), 326 nucleotides. RefSeq lists it as uncharacterized. The transcript is spliced from 3 exons. The record is from RefSeq and is a predicted model, not a curated record. NCBI's taxonomy places the organism in Eukaryota, Metazoa, Chordata, Amphibia, Anura, Bufonidae.
GUUUCACAGCAGCUGGAGUGCCGAAGGUUGCUGAUCUCUGCGAUAGGACAUGGCCCUGCACAGUGAGCACUGUCAGCUUCGAUUGGACAUUGUCAGCGUGUACAUGGACGUGCCCCAUUGACAAGUUGAAUGCUUUGGAAUCACAUACAGAGAUAAGGAUCGUUGUAGCAACUCAGUACUGUAUUCUUCUCCACAGUAAAAGUCACGAGUACAGCGCUGACGACAAGAACUGAACCAAGGUGACGGAGCCAGGAGACAAUCAUCUGUGAUGUUCAAGAAAGCAGAGUUAAUUUUGUGAGCCUUCUCUCAGCUGUACAGCGGUUAGA